MicroRNA precursor from Oryza sativa Indica Group (long-grained rice), 208 nucleotides. It matches the Rfam family "MIR812 microRNA precursor family". The record is from Rfam. NCBI's taxonomy places the organism in Eukaryota, Viridiplantae, Streptophyta, Magnoliopsida, Poales, Poaceae.
AAAGACUCAAUUCUUGGGUCUUAGUGUUCAACGUUUGAUCAUCCGUCUUACAUGAAAUUUUUUUUAUGAUUAGUAUUUUUAUUAUUGUUAGAUGAUAAAAUAAGAAUAAUACUUUAUGUAUGACUUAUCUUUUUAAAUUUUUUCAUAACUUUUUUAAAUAAGACGAGCGGUUAAACGUUAUACGCGAAAACCCAGGAAUUGAGUUUUU